Molecule: long non-coding RNA, 972 nt
Filed under: Brassica rapa (field mustard)
Lineage: Eukaryota; Viridiplantae; Streptophyta; Magnoliopsida; Brassicales; Brassicaceae
Description: long non-coding RNA (BRAP_LNC004814)
Source: RNAcentral
UAAGAAUCAAAAUGAUCAAAAUGUUUCAUUAAAGAGGUAAAUAUACACUUAUACCCCUAGGGUUAACUAAUCCGAACCUUAGGGUUUAGAGUUAAAGGGUGGAGAUUUGGGUUUGAGGUUUAAAAUUUUAUAAAAUAGAAAAUAAAUAUUAAAAAUUCGAAAAUAAAAAUUUUAAAAAUAGUUUCAAAAAGUAAUUUCGAAUUACAAAAAGAAAAUUUGAAAAAAAAAAUUCGAAAAAAAAAGUUCAAAAAAUCAAAAUUUAUAAAAAAGUUCGAAUUUGAAAACAUAUAAUCUAAAACUAUAAAAAAAAAUUUAUUUUUUUAUAUAUCUAGGGUAUUAGUGUCCUUUUACCUAUUAAAUGAAACAUUUUGGUCAUUUUCCUCCUUGUAGUCUAUUUUUGUGAUCAAAACUUGAAAAUGGUCUAUUUAUGAGAAUUGUCCUAUUUUAAAGGAAAAAAUAUCAAAAGAUAUUACGAUUAAAGUAGUUUAAAGAUUCUAUAUAUUAUUAAUCUUAUUAAAACACCUUUAAUAAUUUCUCUUAUGGAUGGUCCAACUUAAAAAUCACACGUGAAAUGAGGUUGUAACUUCUAUUUUAAUACAACAGAUUUUUGGAAAUUCGUCAAUAAGUGCGUUAGCAUUUGAUGCACAUGAGUUACACCAAACCUUGAUCAUCCGAGCACAAACAAAUCUCUCUUGAUUUUCUUAUUCUCCCAAGUCUACUUUUUCCAUAAGGCAUGUUCUCCUUUAUAACAAACUUAAAAUUGCAUCACAAGUUUUUCCAAGACAACUUUUUUGAAGUCAUAUAUUUCCUUUCUUUUUUCUUCAAAUUAAUUUCUAUUCAGUUAAAGUAAAAUUAUAUUUGUUUUCAAACUAAUAUAUCCUUCUAUUUAUAAAUAACAAAUCCACAUAUAGCACAAUACAUAUAUUUUAACAUAUAUCAUCUUCACAACACAUGUAUUUACUAUCUUAGCAC